This 352-nucleotide ribosomal RNA is filed under the name Omorgus squalidus. RNAcentral's name for it is "partial 16S ribosomal RNA". The stretch from base 1 to 132 matches the Rfam family "Archaeal large subunit ribosomal RNA", at positions 1933 to 2099 of the family's 2987-position model. Lineage: Eukaryota; Metazoa; Arthropoda; Insecta; Coleoptera; Trogidae. The record is from RNAcentral.
UAAUAUAAAGUCUGACCUGCCCAAUGAUUAUUGUUGAAUGGCUGCGGUAUUUUGACCGUACUAAGGUAGCAUAAUAAUUAGUUUUUUAAUUGAAAGCUGGUAUGAAUGGUUGGACGAGGGAAUUACUGUCUCAAUUUAAUUUAUAUUAGAAUUUUAUUUUUAAGUAAAAAAGCUUAAAUGAAUUUUAAAGACGAGAAGACCCUAUAGAGUUUUAUAUUUUAUUAUAAUUAUAAAUUUAAGGAAUUAGUUAUUUUAAUUAUGAUAAAAUAUUUUGUUGGGGGGACAAAAAAAUUUAAAGAACUUUUUUUAUAUAAAAUCAUUGAUUUAUGAAUAAGUGAUCCAUUUAUUAUGA